GAUGAACGCUGGCGGUAUGCCUAACACAUGCAAGUCGAACGACAGCACAGUAAGAGCUUGCUCUUACCGGUAGCGAGUGGCGGACGGGUGAGGCAUACAUCGGAAUCCACUUUUUCUUGGGUGAUAACGUAGGGAAACUUACGCUAAUACCUCAUAUGACCUACGGGUGAAAGCAGGGGAUCUUCGGACUUUUCGCGUCUGUUUGAGCCGUGGUCGCAUUAGCUAGUUGGCGGGGUAAAGGCCCACCAAGGCGACGACCCGUAGCUGAUCUGAGAGGAUGAUCCGCCACACUGGAACUGAGACACGGUCCAGACUCCUACGGGAGGCAGCAGUGGGGAAUCUUGGACAAUGGGCGAAAGCCUGAUGCAGCAAUGCCGCGUGAGUGAAGAAGGCCUUCGGGUUGUAAAGCCCUGUUGUUGGGAAAGAAAAGCAGCGGGUGAAUACCCGGACGUCCUGACGGUACCCAAACAAUAAGCCACGGCUAACUACGUG
This 492-nucleotide ribosomal RNA is filed under the name uncultured bacterium. Its description in RNAcentral is "partial 16S ribosomal RNA". It matches the Rfam family "Bacterial small subunit ribosomal RNA", at positions 28 to 507 of the family's 1533-position model. The record is from RNAcentral.